GCAGCUACUGCCUGAGAAUGAAAGCUUUCGUGCAGUGUGAAUCAAAGAUUACAUUGUUAGGUUCACAGUUGAUACGAAGUUCAAAAGCAAGAAUCCUAUAUUUUAUAUAAUGAAUUUUCAAAUAUGUUAGUACUUAUGUAGAUAGUGAAUCCUGGUCAGAUAUUACAAAGAUGAAGACUAAAGAAAAACAGUAAGGUUUGGCAUCCUAGCAUGCAGCUGUGGCCAGAUACCACUAUCAGCUGAGUCCUCUGGGUCACCUGAUGGAAUAGUAUAAAGAGCAUCAAGAGGACUUAAGAGAGCUAUGUUGCCUAGAAACUGACUGAGCCUUUUCAUGGAGGAAAAAUUUCUACACUCAAAACUCUUCAAAGUCUUUUUUGUUUCAAGAACUUCACAGAAUGUAUUUUGCAUUCUGAUUCCAAAGGGUUCUGUGGACACUACAGGAGAUCAGUUUUUUGCAAAACUCACUUGAUACAAAUUUCAUGAAUGCAAAAUGCAUUGAUUCCAGAAAGUCUUAUGUGAAAGCCUUGAAAGAGAAAUAUUUUUACAUGUAUUUUAAGCCUGUUCUAAAUUUGAUUUGCACAUUCUGCCUCAUUUUUGUUGUUUGUCAGUUUAAAAUUUGCAAUGAUUAAGCCAUUAGCAAGAUGUCAGGAGUGACACUCAAAUAUGCAAACAGAGUAAUAGUUUUUGUAGCUACAUAGAUCUAGAUUAGUGACUGUUGUGUUCCUUCUAAAUGUGCUCUUGACAGAAUUCUCAGGCAACAGCAAAUAUAAAAUAGCCCAUUUAAAAAAAAAAAACAUAAUAAUGUAAAGAAGUACAUUCUGAAACAAAAUCCAGAAAGUAAAUAUUUAGAUAUUCUUUUCUAUUUGUUUUUAUCUCUAUAGGGACCACAGAGAAUGAGGACAGAAAAAUUAGCAAAAAUGAACUGCCUUCUUCUGUUUUAGCCUCUAAUGCUUUUGAGCCAGUUCCUGAAGUAUAUAUGUUCUCAUAUAUCUUACACAGAACAUGUGAACUUCAUAUGUAGUGGAGUUUGCCCCAUUUUCCUUUUCUUUCAUUGAACAGAAUUUGCAAAGCCUGAUAAGUAGCAUUCAGACUAUAACAGCAAGCCACAGACAGAUAGGAGAGGCUUCCGUGUAUAGAUGUAAUAGUAUCUUCAAAGACAUAUUGUUAAAUAACAGCAUCUCAUAAAUCCUCUGCUUCAAAAGAACACUGUGGUACAAUCAGAUUCAAAGUCCUCUUUGCAUUUAGCAUUUGUGACUGAAUCAUCUUAAGAGUAUCUGGACACUGUUAUUUAAAGGCAAUUCACCCUUCGUUUGUAGCCUUGGUAUACUUCAUGUAUUAUCAUUAUUUCCCUCUGAAUCAAUCUUGACUGAACGGGAUACUAAGAAUUUUAAAAGAGCAUUCAUAUUCUCACUUUCCUAAAUUUUUAUACUAUAACAUGCAGCUCAAAGCUGAGUACCGAAGUCAUUCCUAAGCAACCAAAACUUGAUCCAUUAACCAAAAUUUUCUGUUCUAUCUCUCCUGUCUUGUCCCACUCAACGGGUUUUGAGGGAGGUGAAUCUUUUUCUAUCUCCUGAGUUGCAUUUCCCCUAGUCAGCAAGGGAUCACUGCCACGACAGAGACAUCCAAGACUCAGAGGAACAAUACACAUUUGUUUACUGAGAGCUUUCUUAACAACAGCUACUUGGAGGUAAAAUUGGCUAAUUACCAUUAAUAAGCAUUACAGGUAAGAAUGUUUUAGGCAAUGGCUACUACGAAGAGUAAAAGAAUAAAAGAAGAUAAAGAGGAAAGAUAGAAAAUGGGGAAAGAGAGACAGACAGAUACAUAAAUACAGCAAAGCAAGGUGAUUCACCACUCCUAGAUUCAGUGACAUCUUGAUGUCAGGUGCUGAUCUUCAGUGGUGGUGGGUCAUUGGAGGUUGUGUGAUCAGUUGACGAUGACUAACAGCAAUAGUAAAAACUCUUAUUUAUAGUCCCAAGUGGUCCAGUCAGCUCUUUUGGAGUGGCAGCUCCUGACUUUGGUAUCUCAGCAGGAACUCCUUCGUUCCCAUCUCCCAGGCCUUGCAAAUUUAAGUCAGCAGAUAAGAGGAGGCAGCGAGAUUCUAUCCUGUCUUCACAGGAUACAGUGGUAUCACCUCCCAGUUUCCUCUACCAAGCUGGAGUUAUUUGGUCACAGGCCAAGUCUUCAGCAAAUGAACACUCCCCCAUUUUGAAGGCAAACAGCUCCAAAGAAAUGCUUUCAAAUGUAAAAUUGUCCACAAAGUGAUGCUGAUUGCAUCAUGUUGAUUUGAGAUGCUCCUUACCAGUCACAGACAUCUCAAAUGUAUAAAUUUUGAAUAGUAGCCUUUCUCUCUUUUUAGCUCAACAAAAUAGAUAACAUUUUUUUGCAUAUAUAAUGUGCAUGGCUGGUUGAAAAAUAUUUAAGACACUUGGUAAAUAGGAGAAAUAAUGUUCAUUUAGAAAAUCAACAGAACUUUCAAGUUUCAACUUAAGUCUCAGGGUUAUAUGGCAGAUUACAAGGGAGAUUUCCUCUUCAGUAACCAAGAAGACUAAUCUGACAAAACAAAACACAUCACUACUUUAGAAUCUAAUUGUGGCAUUGUAGUGUGUUGUUGUUGUUGUUUGUUUUCAUAAGAAAAAAAAGAAAUAUUUCAAUAAUAAUUCACUUCAAAUAUUAAUUGCCAGAGAAGAUAUUUAAAUAUUUGUUAUUUGAUCCACUUCUGCACUGUCUCAAGAAAAUUGCACA
Molecule: long non-coding RNA, 2742 nt
Organism: Numida meleagris (helmeted guineafowl)
Lineage: Eukaryota; Metazoa; Chordata; Aves; Galliformes; Numididae
Exons: 3
Source: RefSeq, a predicted model, not a curated record